AAUAAAAGGUCCAUGUGUCCAUGUGCCAUUUCCAUGUGUCACCAACUAGGAGAGUCCAAAGGUUCACAUAGGUAUGAAUUCACCAUUUGAGAGCCAUAAAAGCGGCCACUCCCAAGUUCUUCCCAUGCUCUCAUGUUGUAUAUCCGUGAAGGUAUUUAGUGCAAGGCCCUGGGGGUGGACUAGUAACAAGGUAUAUAGCACAUGUCCGAGGACAAAUUGGAGCUACAAGACAAUGCCGUCAUUAGCUCUUUGUCCUUUUAAAUUAUACUUAUUCAGGUAGUUACUGCCUGGUUACAAAGAAGUAAUUAAAAAAAAAAUGUGCCAAAUAAAGCCCUGGGGUCCAUAUAAAAAACACUUUAAAAGAUGGCCGGGGGCAGGAUAGACUUCAGCAAGUCUCAAGAGUUGGGUUUAAUUCAACUUCUAAGUGGUGUAUUAAAUAAAAUCCCCAGAGACUCAUGGGCCCUAAACAUGGUCUGUGUUAGCAUCAGAAUCUGCCUCUCUUCAAAUCUGAGUGAUUUACUAUACUUUUGGGGAUUUGUAAAAUAAAUAUGUGAUUCUCCCUACAUGUAUCACUGGAGUUGCUUCAAACACAAAGAACAUUGCCCUGGGAAAUGGAAAAAGUACCAGGGAAAAGAAUGUUGCUUUGACAAUAUUCAACACAAUACGAUUAGCUACAGAAGUAGGCCAAAAACAAGGUUUCUUCAUUGUCGGUAGAAACUGCUUAUAAAGAACUUGGUGGGAAAUCAAUGCUUCCAUAUCCUCCCUUUUCAGGUCAUUUUAUUCCUGUUCUAUUGCUCAGUUUACAGGAAAUUCUGAUAACAAAGAACACUAAUGUCUCCUAACCUUUUUACCCACUGAGUUGCCAUAUUCCAAGCGGAGGAUUUCUGUGUGCCUAAGAUUGAAUGUGUUCACCCCAAGCAUACUGCAGCUUCUUACACCAUUUUUUCAUAUCUGAAUAGAGUCUGUCAGGAAGGUGAUGGAUGAAUCUUACUGGGAGACUAAUCUUACUGAGAGACUUUUAAGUAAGAUCUAUAAACUCUCUUUGAUAUGUUUAGAAAAUAUGUUGCAGAAAAUUACUGGUGAUUAAUUAAAGCAGCAAGAAAAAAAACAGGAAAACCCAGAAAUUUAAACUUUGGAUAUAUCUUUUUACUAAUCAUAAAUGUACAGAUAUAAUUAAAUAUAUAAUACCAUAUAUUGUGAAACAAUGACCAAAAUGACUCUAUGAAACAUAAUUCCUAAUGGACUACUCUAUUUUCCUUUUAUUAAGACGGACCUAAUAGAAUUGGAUAACCCAAUGGACAAAGUAGUUAGUACCUAUAUUUAAGUACAGUUUUAGAUUCUGUUACCAGGAUGUUCUCAACAGCAUACAAGAAAAUUAUGGUCAUAUCUGGAACACUCUCCCUUAGUCUUCACCCUGAUACUUGAUACAUGCUAGGAGCCCAUUAAAUGUCUUUUUGAUAAUGAUAAUUUUUCUUUAAAAGUCUCGGGGCAUCAUUAUUCUUACAGCAGGAAGUUUUCUUUCUUUCCUUUCACAAAGAACAUUCUAAAAGCUACAGGAUGGAAGCCAGCAUAGCUUGUGCCUCUUUCCAUUAUCUACUGUAAUUCCUAAUCUCUCUCUCUACUAAGAGAAAAGAAUCUUUUCUUUUGAUUGUUUGGUCACACCACACUACAACUCAAACAUUCUGAGCUGACCCAGUGGGGACAUGCAAACAUUUUCCAUAAGAGCCUUGUGGUCAGUGAUAUACAGGUUCAGAAUUCUGGGAUCUAUUAUUAACAAGCCAUGAGAAGUCAGAAAUCCUUUCAAGCUCUUGUACUCUGCUUCUUUGACCAUCACAAGAGAAUUCAACUUUCUGUUUAACUUAGAAAGGCUUGGGAUAAAGGGAUGGGGGAAGUGUCUAUGUAUUUGUCAUCUGUUUUUAAGGUUAAUUAAUAAUCUCUCUCACAAGAGAGAAAAAGAAGGCUCUCUUCCAGGCCUCUUUGUUUCUUCUCUGCCUAGAAUGCAUAUUCCCAUGUUUUCACGUAGCUAAUUCUUUAACUUUUUUUAUGUCUCAGCUGCAUCAGGGAAACAUUCACUAGUCCUUGUGAUAGCAAGGCUCCAUUAACAUCUGUUUCAACCUUUUUCUAGUGAGUCUUCAUCUUCCGAAGAGGCUAGACAGCUAACAAAAAUACAUUUCCUUGACUCUCUUGCAACUUGGAUUCCAGAUAGAUUUGGUUUCGGCAAUGAGGCAAACUUGAGUGAGACUUGAAUUUCAAACUAAUGUAGUGACACAUGGGAAACUCAUUAUUUUGGGGGGACGUGACUCUAGAGGGAAUACUGCAGUCCUGCAGCUUGCAGUUCUGCUAGCAGCUUUCUGACUCUGGCCUAUGUAUGUAGAAGUUUCCAUAGUGAGCCAGAACAGCAAUUUUGUUCUAGGACUUAUUCCUGGGAUGACUUACCUACCCUUUCCAAUGAUUUGAAAGUACUUAGUUAAAUUCUUUUCUGCUUAAAAUAGCUACAGUAGUUGCUACUACCUGCAGUUGAACCCUGUUGAUGCUCUAUUUUGCAACGAAAGCAUGUGUAGGCAACAGACUCUCAAAAGUUUGAAUAUUUGACCUGAUGAGUUUGAAGGCAGAGGGGAUCCGUUUCCAUUAGAGCAGCAGUUCUCAAAGUUAAGUUCCUGGACCAGCAGCAUCAGCAUCUGGGAACUUGUUAAAAAUGCAAAUUCUUGGGUCCCAACACAGACCUACUGAAUCAGAAACCCUGGGAGUGGGGCUCAGCAAUCUGCGUUACAAAAACCUUCCAGGUGAUUCUGAUGAAUGCUGAACUUUGAGAACCACUGCAUUAGGGAUAGGUUAUUGGUAGUAAAUAGUAGUUAACAGUCAUUUUAAGUGAACAGUUUAGAAAAAAAUGCCUUUUUGUGGACCCAGUGGUGACUGCCAUAUCACAGUGUGAUGGGCAGAAACUAUUAUAGGCUUUCUAAAAGUCUGGGUUUUCCAGAAUCCAUUCAUUGAUUCAUUCAUUGAUUCAAUCAUUAGACAAAACACAUAAACCAAGUUCAUGUUAAGCAAUCACUAAAUGACAGCUAUUAUUAUUAUCACCAAGAACUAACAGCCUGAAGGGAAAGAUAGAUACAUAAAUGAAAUACAUAUUUUUUAAGUGGAAUAACAGAAGGAAGAUACUUCUUAAUGGAGAGCAGUUUAAUUCCAGCAAUCACACACAUGUGUGAUCAAGACAGGGUCAUGGGAAGUUUUUGGCUCUGAAAGGUUAAGGUCAAGAUGAGGAAAAUUCUGGCCUAAGAAAUCCUGCCUAAAUGGUCAGCUAAGCUAUAAGGACUGAACUGAAACAGCACUGCCUCCGUGACAAAAAUGAGAAGCUAUUUUAUAAAACCAAACCCUGGUAUAUAUUUUACUGUUCUAACAAGAAAGGAAGGUUGCCGGGACUGACCCACAGACCCUGACAGAGCAACAGAUGAGAAAAUGCACUCUGACCCAGAUAUCCAAUGAAAGAGCAGGCUAGGGGACCAGGUAACCCACAGAAAGAGUUGUAGCAGCUGCAGCCCUGACAAGCUGGGGCUGCAGGCAUUUAUUUAGUACAGAUUUAAUGACAGAGGCCUUGAGUCAACACACUUGUGGGUAAUUAACAUGGUCACCCCUCAUCCCCUUUCUAUCUAACCUAAGCUUUUAGGCACCGGAUAAGAGAAUCUGGCUGCCUUCAGCCAAAUCCUUUUCCGAAGCUUUUGUAAAACCUCCCAGCCUUCCAAGAAGGUUUGCAUCUUUCCACAGUUUUUCCCGCCACCCUGACUGAUCUCCUACAGAAGGCAAAAAAGGCUGUCAAUCAAUGAAUCAAAUAUUUACUUCCUAGUUUUUCAGAUAAUAAAUAAGCACUUAUUAUAUUCUGAUAAUUAAUUAACUUUCUAAUAACCAUAACAGGUCAGCCGGGGUCCUUUUAUUAUUAUCUCCGCAACUUGCAACUAAGGAUCAUUAAAAGAUAUAUGCAAAAUGCUCAGUUUAACACCUAAUUUAUGCUACACCCAAUUUUAAGCCAAGAGAAGGUUAGAUUUAUAAUGGGAUACAACACUCAAGCAACAGAAGUGGAAAAAAUAAAGAUUCUGAAUUUCCUAUCCACUAAUUACUUUGUUAUAACUGGAGAAAUUUUUCUGGACACAGGCGUAAAUAUUUAGUAGAUUUAAUUCUCUUAAGAAUAAAUUUGUUAAAAUAAAAAUUAAGAAAAUAUUUGAUAGCUUUUCCAUUUAUUUUGGGUUUUAAAUUGAGAUAACCAGACAAACGACAGCAAUUUUGGUGAUUGCUGGAUGAUACAAACACCUGUGUAGCUAGGGCUGUACAGGCAUUUUUAUUUGGUUGACAGACAACUAGAACUGAAAUCAGUUGCUGAAUUUCAACCAAUUUAAGUGAAUUACUUGACCUACAAGCUAUGUAACCCUAAAUUUCUCAAUGCAGCUGCCAGAAAUCUAUUUUCUAAAUGCAACAACAGCUGGUUUUGAACAAUACUGGAAUAUAGCAAUUUUCAGUUAUUC
Molecule: long non-coding RNA, 4514 nt
Filed under: Homo sapiens (human)
Lineage: Eukaryota; Metazoa; Chordata; Mammalia; Primates; Hominidae
Description: HSALNT0321736
Source: RNAcentral